GCUAUUUUCUCUAUAUUCUCACUCCACUUUAUGUCCAUCUUUUCUCCUCGGGGGAGCCGAUGUCUCAACAGAGACGGACGAGACAGAGAGAGACGCCACACAAAUCUCAGGAGGUAAAGCCGUGAAGGUUAAACAAGAUGAACAGGCGGGGCGGUGCUUCCUGUUAAACGGGGCCAGAGGUUGGCAAGAAUUCAUGGAAAUACACUGCAAACGUGGCGUCGUAGCUCAACGCGGUAAAGCAAAGCUACUGAACAAUUCGGACAGCGGGCGCAGGCGUGGGCCCGGGGCCGCCCUUCUGAGCAUUGAUGACUGCCAGCCAGCGCGGUGAUAUGUGGGCCCUCCAAGCUCCGGUAGCCCCACCGCACCACACCACACCACACCCUGGGGUGCAACAAAUAUCAGCAUUGUAAUUUCACGCCUGUGAUUAUUAUCGCGAGCUCUAUCUCUGACUGGGAAUCCUCCACCC
Long non-coding RNA from Gasterosteus aculeatus aculeatus (three-spined stickleback), 466 nucleotides. The record is from Ensembl. NCBI's taxonomy places the organism in Eukaryota, Metazoa, Chordata, Actinopteri, Perciformes, Gasterosteidae.